UCUUAGGUGGCCGAAAACUAAGCAAUAAACUUUUAAUUUAUCUAUGGUAAUUUUUACCCCUAAGAA
RNAcentral lists this transfer RNA (66 nucleotides) under Coccocrater sp. MNHN-IM-2013-41044. RNAcentral describes it as "tRNA-Lys". The record is from RNAcentral. Lineage: Eukaryota; Metazoa; Mollusca; Gastropoda; Cocculinidae.